UCCUUGCCGGGAAAGUGUCAGCCAUCCGGAAAAGCCAUCGGGAAAAAAGGCGGGUUAUAGUUCGCUUGUCGGAAAGUUGCCGCUUGCUUGUUAAGCCGAUAUUUAUUUGACCGGACACACAUUCAUAAAUACCAUUUAUUACUGGCAGUUGGAAACAUUACUUCGCAUGUUGCAAACUCGAAGGGUUUAUUUCGCCGGGCAUCAACUGGGCAAUGGCAUUUAUUUCACGUGUUGUCUUCGUAACCCCUGUACACUGCAGGUGCAGGCCAGUUCAUCAUUUCCUGAUGUAACAAUUAAGAAGCACGGAGUAGGGAUUUAGCUCGUAUUGUUUUUUGUUUAGCUCAAUUUGAAGCAAGCCCUUGCAUGGUGUUCUCACAGCAUACAUUUCUUCGAAAAGCUCAAACAGAUUGAAGAAGGUACAUACAGUACGCUCAAGCCCUUUACCAGACUCUAUACGUCGCCAGCUUCAUCGACAACUACCGACAGGAGCUCGCUACAUACCCUGCUUUGACUACAGGUACACAACAAGUACAAGCAAUAUACAAUAUUACUAGGAUUCAUGCUUGAGGAAAUACUUUUUGAACACAUAUCUUUGGCUAUAGACUCACUAUUUCACCGUUCAAAACCCCAUUCCUCAUCUCUCAAACACAGUGGCCACCAUGUCAUCUCCGAUGGCCUCUCCUGCUGCCUCGCAACAACCUUCUACAGAAACUUCGGUGAGCUUGUUUAUACAUUUGUUUUCUCUUAUUCAUCUUAUUUACAAAGAUUAUAUCUCUAUUUGUUCUUUAAUUUUCCGUAGACUUCUCAUCCAUCAA
Long non-coding RNA from Cryptomeria japonica (Japanese cedar), 815 nucleotides. RefSeq lists it as uncharacterized. The transcript is spliced from 4 exons. Lineage: Eukaryota; Viridiplantae; Streptophyta; Pinopsida; Cupressales; Cupressaceae. The record is from RefSeq and is a predicted model, not a curated record.